AGAGUUUGAUCCUGGCUCAGGAUGAACGCUAGCUACAGGCUUAACACAUGCAAGUCGAGGGGCAGCAUGGUCUUAGCUUGCUAAGGCCGAUGGCGACCGGCGCACGGGUGAGUAACACGUAUCCAACCUGCCGUCUACUCUUGGACAGCCUUCUGAAAGGAAGAUUAAUACAAGAUGGCAUCAUGAGUUCACAUGUUCACAUGAUUAAAGGUAUUCCGGUAGACGAUGGGGAUGCGUUCCAUUAGAUAGUAGGCGGGGUAACGGCCCACCUAGUCUUCGAUGGAUAGGGGUUCUGAGAGGAAGGUCCCCCGCAUUGGAACUGAGACACGGUCCAAACUCCUACGGGAGGCAGCAGUGAGGAAUAUUGGUCAAUGGGCGAGAGCCUGAACCAGCCAAGUAGCGUGAAGGAUGACUGCCCUAUGGGUUGUAAACUUCUUUUAUAAAGGAAUAAAGUCGGGUAUGCAUACCCGUUUGCAUGUACUUUAUGAAUAAGGAUCGGCUAACUCCGUGCCAGCAGCCGCGGUAAUACGGAGGAUCCGAGCGUUAUCCGGAUUUAUUGGGUUUAAAGGGAGCGUAGAUGGAUGUUUAAGUCAGUUGUGAAAGUUUGCGGCUCAACCGUAAAAUUGCAGUUGAUACUGGAUAUCUUGAGUGCAGUUGAGGCAGGCGGAAUUCGUGGUGUAGCGGUGAAAUGCUUAGAUAUCACGAAGAACUCCGAUUGCGAAGGCAGCCUGCUAAGCUGCAACUGACAUUGAGGCUCGAAAGUGUGGGUAUCAAACAGGAUUAGAUACCCUGGUAGUCCACACGGUAAACGAUGAAUACUCGCUGUUUGCGAUAUACAGCAAGCGGCCAAGCGAAAGCGUUAAGUAUCCCACCUGGGGAGUACGCCGGCAACGGUGAAACUCAAAUGAAUUGACGG
Molecule: ribosomal RNA, 916 nt
Filed under: uncultured bacterium
Lineage: Bacteria
Description: bacterial SSU rRNA
Rfam family: Bacterial small subunit ribosomal RNA
Source: RNAcentral